GAUGAACGCUAGCUACAGGCUUAACACAUGCAAGUCGCAGGGUAACAUGAGGGAAGCUUGCUUUCCUUGAUGACGACUGGCGCACGGGUGAGUAACGCGUAUCCAACCUUCCCAUCACUACGGCAUAACCCGUUGAAAGACGGACUAAUUCCGUAUGAUAUCGUUUGGUGGCCUCAGAUGACGAUUAAAGGUUUAGCGGUGAUGGAUGGGGAUGCGUCCGAUUAGCUUAUUGGCGGGGUAACGGCCCACCAAGGCAACGAUCGGUAGGGGUUCUGAGAGGAAGGUCCCCCACAUUGGAACUGAGACACGGUCCAA
Molecule: ribosomal RNA, 315 nt
Filed under: uncultured bacterium
Lineage: Bacteria
Description: bacterial SSU rRNA
Rfam family: Bacterial small subunit ribosomal RNA
Source: RNAcentral